This 496-nucleotide ribosomal RNA is filed under the name uncultured bacterium. Its description in RNAcentral is "partial 16S ribosomal RNA". It matches the Rfam family "Bacterial small subunit ribosomal RNA", at positions 30 to 523 of the family's 1533-position model. The record is from RNAcentral.
AUUGAACGCUGGCGGAAUGCUUUACACAUGCAAGUCGAACGGUAGAGGGGGCAACCCCUCGAGAGUGGCGAACGGGUGAGUAAUAUAUCGGAACGUGCCCAGUCGUGGGGGAUAACGUAGCGAAAGUUACGCUAAUACCGCAUACGAUCUACGGAUGAAAGCGGGGGAUCGCAAGACCUCGCGCGAUUGGAGCGGCCGAUAUCAGAUUAGGUAGUUGGUGGGGUAAAGGCUCACCAAGCCAACGAUCUGUAGCUGGUCUGAGAGGACGGCCAGCCACACUGGAACUGAGACACGGUCCAGACUCCUACGGGAGGCAGCGGUGGGGAAUUUUGGACAAUGGACGCAAGUCUGAUCCAGCCAUUCCGCGUGCAGGAUGAAGGCCCUCGGGUUGUAAACUGCUUUUGUACGGAACGAAAAGGUUUCCAUUAAUACUGGGAGCUCAUGACGGUACCGUAAGAAUAAGCACCGGCUAACUACGUGCCAGCCGCCGCUGUAA